This 69-nucleotide transfer RNA is filed under the name Spilogale gracilis (western spotted skunk). Its description in RNAcentral is "tRNA-Glu". It matches the Rfam family "tRNA". From Rfam's summary of the family: Transfer RNA (tRNA) molecules are approximately 80 nucleotides in length. Their secondary structure includes four short double-helical elements and three loops (D, anti-codon, and T loops). Lineage: Eukaryota; Metazoa; Chordata; Mammalia; Carnivora; Mephitidae. RNAcentral also lists the same sequence under 5 other names. The record is from RNAcentral.
GUUUCUAUAGUUGAAUAACAACGGUGGUUUUUCAUAUCACCAGUCAUGGUUAAAUUCCAUGUGGAAAUA